This 909-nucleotide ribosomal RNA is filed under the name Thysanozoon brocchii. Its description in RNAcentral is "partial large subunit ribosomal RNA". It matches the Rfam family "Eukaryotic large subunit ribosomal RNA", at positions 118 to 836 of the family's 3401-position model. The record is from RNAcentral. Lineage: Eukaryota; Metazoa; Platyhelminthes; Polycladida; Pseudocerotidae.
AAUCCUUCACCAUCUCGGUGACAGGAAAUGUGGUGUUUAGGCCGUACCUUGUCCCGACACGUCUCUCCUCAAGUCCACUUGAUUGUGGCCCCAGGCCCAGAGAGGGUGUAAGGCCCGUGGAGGCGAGACGUUCGGUACCUGGUGCGUCCUUAGAGUCGGGUUGUUUGGGAAUGCAGCCCUAAGCGGGUGGUAAACUCCAUCCAAGGCUAAAUACCAGCACGAGUCCGAUAGCGAAGAAGUACCGCGAGGGAAGGUUGAAAAGAACUUUGAAGAGAGAGUUCAAGAGUACGUGAAACCGCUGAGAGGCAAACUGGUGGAACUGAAAUGGUCCCGAGGAAUUCAGCCGUUGGUCGUUGCACAGUCUUUGGUGAUUGAUCUAACGACGGCGCCAUUGAAUGACGUUUCGAUCAUCGGUGCACUUUCCUCGCCUGGGCCCGACCACGACCGGUGAGCUGAUCUGUCUGUCGUGCUUGGAAGAUAGCGCCGUCUUCGGAAGGCGUGUUAUAGACAGGCAUACGGAGCAGUCGGCGCACUGGAUGAUAGUGCCUGCCCAUCUGGGCUCAUAUGGUGGUUGUUUUGUUGGCGAGUUCUGAUGUCACUACUUCGGUAGAGUCGUUAGACUCUGUUGGCAUUAUGGCUGUCCUCUAUGAUUGGCACUGUUAAGUCUGUGGUUGUGAAGUAGGUAGUCCACCUGACCCGUCUUGAAACACGGACCAAGGAGUCUAACAUGUGCGCGAGUCAUUGGGUUCACGAAACCUAAAGGCGCAGUGAAGGUAAAGAUCUGUUUUGGCAGAUUGAGGUGGGAUGCCGGGUUACGCGCCCGGCCGCACUACCGGCCCGUUCUAUAUGUCUUUCAUAGGAGCGGAGCAAGAGCGUACACGUUGGGACCCGAAAGAUGGUGAACUAUGC